UGACCGCUGGCGGCGUGCCUACUACAUGCAAGUCGAGCGAACAGACGCGGAGCUUGCUCCUCUGACGUUAGCGGCGGACGGGUGAGUAACACGUGGAUAACCUACCUAUAAGACUGGGAUAACUUCGGGAAACCGGAGCUAAUACCGGAUAAUAUAUUGAACCGCAUGGUUCACUAGUGAAAGACGGUUUUGCUGUCACUUAUAGAUGGAUCCGCGCCGCAUUAGCUAGUUGGUAAGGUAACGGCUUACCAAGGCAACGAUGCGUAGCCGACCUGAGAGGGUGAUCGGCCACACUGGAACUGAGACACGGUCCAGACUCCUACGGGAGGCAGCAGUAGGGAAUCUUCCGCAAUGGGCGAAAGCCUGACGGAGCAACGCCGCGUGAGUGAUGAAGGUCUUCGGAUCGUAAAACUCUGUUAUUAGGGAAGAACAAAUGUGUAUGUAACUAUGCACGUCUUGACGGUACCUAAUCAGAAAGCCACGGCUAACUACGUG
RNAcentral lists this ribosomal RNA (495 nucleotides) under uncultured bacterium. Its description in RNAcentral is "partial 16S ribosomal RNA". It matches the Rfam family "Bacterial small subunit ribosomal RNA", at positions 30 to 507 of the family's 1533-position model. The record is from RNAcentral.